GGGGGAUAUUGCGCAAUGGGGGGGACCCUGACGCAGCGACGUCGCGUGAAGGACGAAGGUCUUCGGAUCGUAAACUUUUGUCAUUUGGGAAGAUAUCAGACGGUACCAAAUGAGGAAGCCACGGCUAACUACGUGCCAGCAGCCGCGGUAAUACGUAAGUGGCGAGCGUUGUCCGGAAUUACUGGGUGUAAAGGGCGUGUAGGCGGGUAUGCAAGUCAGAUGUGAAAUACCGGGGCUCAACUCCGGGGUUGCAUUUGAAACUGUAUAUCUUGAGUGCAAGAGAGGGAAGUGGAAUUCCUAGUGUAGCGGUGAAAUGCGUAGAUAUUAGGAGGAACACCAGUGGCGAAGGCGGCUUCCUGGCUUGUAACUGACGCUGAGGCGCGAAAGCGUGGGUAGCGAAC
RNAcentral lists this ribosomal RNA (401 nucleotides) under uncultured bacterium. RNAcentral's name for it is "bacterial SSU rRNA". It matches the Rfam family "Bacterial small subunit ribosomal RNA", at positions 356 to 773 of the family's 1533-position model. The record is from RNAcentral.